This 465-nucleotide ribosomal RNA is filed under the name Vreelandella stevensii. RNAcentral describes it as "partial 16S ribosomal RNA". It matches the Rfam family "Bacterial small subunit ribosomal RNA", at positions 338 to 795 of the family's 1533-position model. Lineage: Bacteria; Pseudomonadati; Pseudomonadota; Gammaproteobacteria; Oceanospirillales; Halomonadaceae. The record is from RNAcentral.
CCUACGGGAGGCAGCAGUGGGGAAUAUUGGACAAUGGGGGCAACCCUGAUCCAGCCAUGCCGCGUGUGUGAAGAAGGCCCUCGGGUUGUAAAGCACUUUCAGUGAGGAAGAACGCCUGGUGGUUAAUACCCAUCAGGAAAGACAUCACUCACAGAAGAAGCACCGGCUAACUCCGUGCCAGCCGCCGCGGUAAUACGGAGGGUGCGAGCGUUAAUCGGAAUUACUGGGCGUAAAGCGCGCGUAGGUGGCUUGAUAAGCCGGUUGUGAAAGCCCCGGGCUCAACCUGGGAACGGCAUCCGGAACUGUCAAGCUAGAGUGCAGGAGAGGAAGGUAGAAUUCCCGGUGUAGCGGUGAAAUGCGUAGAGAUCGGGAGGAAUACCAGUGGCGAAGGCGGCCUUCUGGACUGACACUGACACUGAGGUGCGAAAGCGUGGGUAGCAAACAGGAUUAGAUACCCUAGUAGUC